UCUAAUUACUAAUAAUUAGGUGA
RNAcentral lists this non-coding RNA (23 nucleotides) under Rattus norvegicus (Norway rat). Lineage: Eukaryota; Metazoa; Chordata; Mammalia; Rodentia; Muridae. The record is from RNAcentral.